UGGGGAAUUUUGGACAAUGGGGGCAACCCUGAUCCAGCCAUGCCGCGUGAGUGAAGAAGGCCUUCGGGUUGUAAAGCUCUUUCAGUUGGGAAGAAACGGUGUGCUCUAACAUAGCGCAUCAAUGACGGUACCGACAGAAGGAGCACCGGCUAACUACGUGCCAGCAGCCGCGGUAAUACGUAGGGUGCGAGCGUUAAUCGGAAUUACUGGGCGUAAAGCGUGCGCAGGCGGUUGUGUAAGACAGGUGUGAAAUCCCCGGGCUUAACCUGGGAACUGCGCUUGUGACUGCACGGCUAGAGUACGGCAGAGGGGGGUGGAAUUCCACGUGUAGCAGUGAAAUGCGUAGAGAUGUGGAGGAACACCGAUGGCGAAGGCAGCCCCCUGGGCCGAUACUGACGCUCAUGCACGAAAGCGUGGGGAGCAAACAGGAUUAGAUACCCCUGUAGUCC
Molecule: ribosomal RNA, 449 nt
Filed under: uncultured prokaryote
Description: bacterial SSU rRNA
Rfam family: Bacterial small subunit ribosomal RNA
Source: RNAcentral